RNAcentral lists this small RNA (8069 nucleotides) under Rattus norvegicus (Norway rat). RNAcentral's name for it is "uncharacterized LOC102551038". The record is from RNAcentral. Lineage: Eukaryota; Metazoa; Chordata; Mammalia; Rodentia; Muridae.
ACACACUUUCUCCAACAAGGCCACACCUUCUAAUCCUGCCGCUCCCUGGGCCAAGCAUAUGCAAACCAUCACAGGGGGUAACUAGUAUCCUGAAGAAAUAACACUCACACCCUUAGGAAGAUUAUCCAAGCCAUUUGAACUCAUAAUAGAGAAGCACAGCUUGAUUCUGCGUGCAAAAAUCUACAAGUCACCUGGUUUGGAGCCACCAUGAGUGAUUUGCCUUUGUUUUUACACUUGAUCUUAGCCAAAGGGCCGAGAAGCAAUUGCCUUUGUUUUUAAAGAAAAGAUUCCAAACAAGGAAUGCAUAGGAUUCUGAUAGUUUAUAUCAUCCCUCAAACCUUCACUGCCUCUCCUCCAUCUCAGAAAACCGGAGUCAGUAAAUGGAUGUAUGAUGUCCAUGGUUUAGUUAAAACGAAGCUCCAAAUCUGUCCAGGUCUCUGCUGUAGCAAAGCUGCUGACAUAGUUGUCACGUACCUUCUAAGAGAUGCCCCGAGGCAUCGCAUGGACCUAAGGCAUCGGAGCCACAGGGCCUGUGUUUGCAUUUUAUACUUAACUGAGCCUUGUAAGUAAAGUGGUUCAACUUAGGAAGGUUUUCUAAGCUAGUGGGUAGAGCAGAAGAGAUUUCUUGUAAUAGUUAAUAACCAGGAAGCUCAGGCUUUCUGAUUAAUUGUGGCUUUCCUCCGUCUUGGUAUUUGAUAGCUUUCCUACAGUUUGGUUCAAAAGCUACCUCGAUAUCAUUAAGUUAUGUUGCAGUGUUCAGUAUUUGAGUCUGUUCAGCAGGGACACUUGAAAAAUCACCAGCUAUUUUUAAAAGCUUGUUUGUUUUCACCAGCUGUUUUGGGUUAAGAGGGUGUUUACAUCUUGAUGUACAGAAUGAAACAGCUAUAAGUAAUUUUUCCUGUAUACACUGCCAUCUUUCAUUACUUGGAAUGUCAUCCCCGAGAAGGUACAUGACAGCCAUGAUGUUAUGGUCCUAGAGAAUCUGUUCAGUGUCCUUGUGAGGUGUGUGUGGCUGUGUUCAUCCUGUGUGGAUGCAAUGGAGUAGCCUCGACUUACGUGUCCCAUAGCUAAGCACAUGUGUUCUAAUCAUGCCUCGGGCUCUUUGACUCUAUUUGUGCAACAGUCUUUCCCAGUGUGUGUUAAUGGAUGUUUAUCUUAAUUAAGCCAGCUCUGAAAUGCUGCCUGUUGGCUGUGCCAAGAACAGACAAUGUCAUAAUCUAAAAGUAUUUGCUUACUUUAUUGGUCUGGGUUUGAAACAUUCAUACUGAGUCUUUCCCUGAAAGAACAACAUGCCAAGAAAAGCAUUAACAAAAUCUGUUAACAAAAUCUGAACAGAAAGGGAGACAGACCAGAGUAGUGAAGUACAAAGAAGGGCUCGGAGGGUGUGACUCGGUGUCCAGAAGCUAGGGUCAGAAGGGAGCAAGUUAGACAGGGUCCUGUCAAAGAUAAAACAAAUUCCAGAUAAGACCUCUUGUUCUGAUGAAUUUGGUAAAAAUGUUCUUACUUGGGGUCCUGGGGGCGCUAAAAUGAGCAGAACUCCUAAACAGACACUGUAUUUGCACAUUGUGUGGAUUAUCUAUUUGUUGCAGGUUUCCAUUUCUCUCUCUCUCUCCCUCUCCCUCCCUCCCCCCCCCCUCUCUCUCUGUCGUGUGUGUGUGUGUGUGUGUGUGUGUGUGUGUGUGUGUGUGUGUGUGUGUGCGCGCGCGCGUAUGCAUGAUCAUGUGUGGGGAUUUUAUUUUGCUCCUAUAAUUAAGAAUUCUUGCCCUGAGCUAAGAACACAUACCUGUUAAAGCUUGAAAAUCCGUUUGAGACAAGUGAAUUAUGGAGAACUUUUACCCAGUUGUAAUUUAGAAAACAGAUGUUCUAUUCCAGGUUUACUACAAUUAUUUUUGCAAUGUAGGUUGUUUUGCACACCUGACUCAAGCCUGGAAGAGUACAUUUUGGUUAGGUCAUGUCAGGAAUGUCUCUCAGCUGUGGCUUUGCCAGGCUCUACAGAGGCCCCUCUGGUGCAGACCCAGGGUGACUUCUCUGUGCUCUUGUAGUGUGCUGAGGCCCAGAUGGAUACUUACUUGGCUUAACCUAAGGACACACUCUGAACUGCUGGAUUUCCAGGGGAGCAUGUGGAGUAUGUGCUUGUCACUCGCUAUUCAACAAACUGAAGUCACUUUGUUAGAGCUGCCAUGAAGUUAAAGAAUAAAUAAAUAAUUUCAAAAGCAUCCACCAUGUGACCAAAGUGAACACUUCGGCUCACCACAGACCACAGGUCACUCCUGAGUGCUGCACUCUACGUCAUGGUCAGGGUCUCUUAGUCUUUUUCUCCACUGCUCGAGGAAGUGGAACCAUAAACACUGGUGAGUAGAACCUGUUCUGUUGUUCAAGUUGGAUUUAAUAAUUUAAUAAUAUCCUCACUGAAGAUCAGCAAGAGAAUCCCCUGCAACCCUAAGGGUUCUGAAUGGGUUAGUGAGGACCAAGCAGGCAGGAGUGCGGCAAAAAUAUGUAAGUGCCACUUGCGAGAGGCGUUUGAUCAUGUUCAUCCUGCUCUGGGGCUGCUGGCUGAUAGCAGCCCCUGCUGCUGACUCUUAAGUCAUGUCCAGGAACCUCUAGGCAGGUGAAAUUCAGUAAGUGUUGGCCCCUGUGUGCUUGGAAGCCAUAUGCAUCCUGUUUAUAAUAGUGGCUGUGAUUGACACAUUGGUACCUGGUGUCCUGUGCUUUGGCAAUGCUGGUGUGUAAACAGUUACCUCUGCACACCUGAGAGACUCUAAGAGACUACAGAGAGGAGUUCCUGGAUCAGUACUGUAGCAUCACAAAUCCUUCCUAGCAUUGCCUUGGCAACAAACAGUAUUUUCAGCCCAGCCUCACCCCUGGUUCACAUUUGCCCUUUUCUACUGUAUUCCAUGGCACAGCAAUGCAGGCGUCACCCAAGUUCACGGGACUCAGUCAGGGACCAUCUGAGAUCAGGAGACAGGAAUUGUGCCUUCCAUACCCAUGAGGGUCCUCCGACUUCCCCAGCUCUGUCUUGGCCAUCUGACUGUUUUAUGCCAGCGCUCUGUGUCAAGGCUAGGUUACAAACAACCUUGCCUAACGGUGAACAAACAAUAUGUUGCCUUUGUACAUUGCGCUCCAGUAAUGCUUAUCUGUGCCUUUAGUAUUUCUGUGUGGUGUACCUUAAGGCAGCCUGGGAGCAGGAAACACCACCUCAUUUCAUUUGAGAGAACAAAACGUGGGUCAAUAAUGACUUUGGAUGGUACCAUGCCAAUUGGCAGUGGUAUUGAGUUGCCACUUGGGUUUGGGUUUUUAUUUAGAAGUUGGUGCACAUCUGUCUAUGCUGUCUUGUGUCUCAGAAGGGAAAUUCUUGGCAUAUAUAAUAGCAGUAGAGAGAGUAUAGAGCAGACAUAGAAGGAAAAUAGAAUUGUGUGUUCUACAACAUGUCUCUGGGUAUAGCCAUGUUGUCUUCACAGCAAUCUCGAAGGCAUUCUUUCCUACAGAUGAGCUGUCCAAGCCCUAAAGAUGUCACACGGCUUCACCCACAGCCAGUGUGGUCCUUGGUUGGCACCAGGAUUGUAACCCGGAUUGAUCUCACUAAGAACUCAUGCUCUUAGCUACUAGAUAGUCUUAAACCACAUCACAUAGGAGCCUGUAUAACCACAUGUGUAUGCAGGUAUACACUUUUUACAUGCUAAACAGUCAAUGCCAACUUCUGUGGUAAGACAUCCUGAAAGGAAUAAAAUAGUUGGCUAAAAUCCCUGAACUUCUAACCAUAACAGGACAGAUGCUCAAGGGUAUGGGAUUAGAGCACCUAGGUCAAGGCAUCCAGACAUUUUAGUGUUUGUGUUAUUGGUGAGUCACAUGUUACAGGCCCUUGCUUUCCUAAGAUGCUGCCAGAAUACUCUGGUUCUUUGGCUUGGAGUAAUUUUGUGACAAUUCUGCUGAGAGUCUCUAUGUGUGAAAACAGGAAACAGGGAAUAGCUUUCUACCACUGCGACUGCUUGGAUUUAGACUCCCUGGUUCUCUCCUACUUGUGCUGUGAUCUUACAGGUUUCUGAAACCUUUCUGCCUUAGUUUUCUCCUGUGCACACUGAGUAUGGUUGUGAUUGUAAAGUGAAUGGAUAUAGGGAAAGCCCUGGGACCAGCACCAGGCAGAAAGCCAUGGCCACCAUGCUCAUGAAUGUGAUAAAUCUUUGCACAAAGCUCUUUAGAAGCCUUCCCUAGGGGAGGAUUCUGUUGCAAUGUCUAGCAUGCGGUGGUGCCCUAGCCAGACACAUGUGUGGACUUACGGACAGAGCAUACAUCCAAAGAGGGAAAGGAAUUGAGUGACCCAUGCCUGCUGUAUGUCGGGUGCUCUGUUGAGGAAAUAUUUCAUUACACACUUUAAUAACCUGAAGAAGGGAUGUAGUGUUACCGUGAGAGGUAAGCGAUGCCUUUCAGUCUCCCUCCCAGUCUCAAGGCACAGGUAUGCUGGGGAUCCCUGUCCUAUCCAGUAUGGCACAAGAAUCCAGGCAUCAACAGACUUUGCUUUGAAUAUAGCUGUCUGUGUACCUGACAGUCCCGGAUGCUACCUUCCCUGGUGCCUCUGUGAGUCCCUAUUGAUAGGAAGGUGAGAGGGAGGAAGUGAGCAGCCAGCAGCCUGCAGCCUACAGUUCUGUCAACCGAAAGGCAUUCUUGAAAAGUACAAAUAUAGCACGGCUAUAAAAAGAUUAAGGUGCACUGCUCUGAAAACUGAGAACCAGUAGGGAGUGCCAUGGUGGCCAACUGACAAAGUGGAGAAGCAAAUUUUGCAAAACUGGAAAACCAGGGAAAGUCAGGCUAAGUGGAGACGCUGACAAAUCAGACUACAGCUAGCCAGGCCUGAACUAGAGGCUGGCAAGCAGAAAACGGUAAGCGGUGAGGCUCCCUGAGGGAUUCCAGUGAGUUCUCUUUCUUUGGAAGCAUGACAGGGGUCCUGGGGACCAGUGAACUGUCACCAUGGGCUGGGGUGUUUCUGCCCUGCUCACUAGCACUGCAGAACUGAGGUGGAGUGCAGGGAGGCUCCCUCCUUGGCCUGUGGGCUUCCUUUUUAACCUCUACUGUCCUCCUCUCUCCCUUUUCUCCACCACUGUGUGACCUCCCCACCUAGGCCUCCCCAGCCUGUGGUUCAGAGCUUCAAGGCAGAUCUCCCAGUAAGCUGUCCUGCACCGCUGCUACUGAGGACAAAGCAAGCAAAGGUCUUUUCUGACUUUGGUUUAGAGGUAAUCAUACUUCAGGCUUUUACUUCACUGUAAACCCUGCCUGUAGCGUAACAUUAUAAUCUUAAUUCAACUGUUGCUAUUCUGUGUGUGGCCUGGCAUCCAGAAAUUAGGUAAAGAGCUGCACAGAGAGAAUGCCAGAGGGGAAACUUGGAGGCCUGCCAGGCUGCAAUCCUCACGGAACUGUGUUCUUGUAUGGGCUAGAGGCCCUGCAGGUGAGAAGGACAGUUAGGCAAGAUAGCAAAAAGAGCCAUGUAUGUGUGUCCUGACCCCCAACCCAAAGCAGAAGCAGAACCCUGAGGGCUUUUAGAAAUCUAAAAGGAUUUCCUUCAACUUUUAAAAAAAUUACACAUUCUAUAUUGUGCACGUCUGUGCCACAGUGUAUGUAUGGAGUCAGAGAGCACUGGGAAUCAGCUCUACAUCCCACCAUGUGGUUCCAGUGACGGCGCCGUUCUGCUGAGCCAUGGCAACAACUUGCUCACUCACUGUUGCAUCAAGGAGUGACAAGCCUGUUCCCAUAGACCUUGGCUAUGGCAGGACAUUCUGGGUAAAUGGAGGUGACACAAAACCAUGGUUUUCUGGAGUCGUUUGUUGUCGCUGCUACCAUCCUCUGGCUCAGGAGCAGCUAGGCUUCUUGGCACCACUGCUCAGCAUUCCAUCUCCAGUGUCCAAGCGCUUUCCACCCAGACUGACCACAUCGCCAACCAUGCUGAGCUCAGAUUGCUUCUAUUCCAGAGGCCAUGCCACCAAGACUGCUCAGCUGCCUGCUGGUAGAGUCUGUCAUUCCAUCCAGGGUGUUCCAGUCCAGUUGUUGAGACAGGCGUCCAGGAGAAUACCAAGGACUCUAGCAGGCUGCCUGAACCGAUCCUCACUGAUGAUCUAGACAGAAGGAGUUCAGACCGAAGUCACCACCCAACCAGGUCACUGAAGUUCACAGGAGGAAGCCCUGAAGUCUGGUUUUUCAAGUCCCCUCCUCACACAGCUGGGGCGACAGUUUACACUGAGGUGCCCAAGACUCCACCACACCACUCCAUUAGACCUGGCCUAUGGCCUACAGACUUAUCCCUCCACCAAGAGCCCUGGAGGACAAGAGUGGGGACAAGAGAGGAAAAGAUGGCUGGCCAGAGGGAGGGAAGGAAGGAGGCAGAAGGACCAAGGUGAAGAUUCCUGUCUACCAAACUUCUGAUCAACAACCUGAAACGGUACGUUCUAGACUUGAAGAGUUGAGCUUUCUCAACACAAGAGAAGAGGAACUGAAUUCACCUCCCAACAGCCUCAGCAGCAGCUCACAGGUAACUUUAGCUCCAGGGAAUCUAGUGCCUGCUUCUGGCCUCUGAAGGCAGCCACAUUCACAUGCAUGGGGGCAGACACCACAUGUAUGUCAACCUAAAAGCCAAGCCUCCCCACCCCCAAGAAUAAAGUCUCUUUGAAAUUUAGAAAAAAUAACCUUUAAGAGUAUUCUAGCUGUGGUGUGCUUUAAAAAAUUAUUGUGGCUUUUUUUUUUAAAUCACUACAUAGCUCAGACUAGUCUUGAAUUCUAUCCUCCUGCUGCAGUCUUCCAAGUGCUGGGAUGACAGACUUGUGCCAGAAUACUCUCUAUUGUAAUUUUUUUAUUGUUGUAGCAAAAAUACGACACAUUUUGCCAUCUUAAUGUGGCAUUUGUUACAGGCACAGCAUUGGAUGAGCAUCACUGCUACCAUUUCCAAAACUCUUUCAUUGCUCUGAAUGGAAACACAUAGACCAGAAACUCCCAUCCUGCCACCUUUAAUCUACUUUUUGUCUUACAAGUUUGUCAAUCACAGAUAAUUCCAUAUUUGAAAUAAUAUACUAUAUGAAGGGGGCCGCCUGGCUUCUUUCACUCAGCACUGUCUCCAAGGCUCAGUCACGAUGUAGCAUGUGACAGGACAUGGCUCUUCCAUGCACUCAAACACUAGUUUAUCAUGGUUACCUGCCAUGUUUAUGACUUGUCGUCUGAAGAUGGGCAUCGAGUUGCCUCAUUAUUAUAUGCAGGGUUGAAGACAGUAAACUGUCUGCGAGGCUUUGACAGCAACACAGCCAAACCAGAACUACUGACCAGAGGACCAUCAGGGUCACAGCCUUGAAGGAGAGACAACACCCACCCUUCAACAUAGCAAAGCACCCAACCAUCUUCUCGGGAAGACAGAACCACCUUUAACCCACACACACAACUCCUAAGGUCCCUACCAGAUGCUCCACCAAGGCUUUUGUCUGUGAGGCAACUAAGCAAAUAGAUUAGUGAAGGGCCCUGUUUGGAGAGUGGAGAGUCCUUGACUGUUCACUGAUGGAGACAAUGGAAGGAGACAAUAGGAAGGAAAGGGGACAGAAGCCCUGGGUCAACUACUCCUUAGAAAUACAGCCUGGACAGGAAACUUGGUAUGCCCAAGAGAAAACCAAGAUAAAAGAGAACAGGAAGCCAAGCUCUUGGGCGUCAGCCUCGUGGCCAUUCUAAAACUCUGCGCCUCAAUGGAGCCAUAUCCCUUAUCUGCAUACUCUAGACUCAUCUCUAAUCUCAGAGAAUGUCUCUUCUCCACGUGCACUCUCUACCGAAUGCUCACUGACCGAUCCUCUGUUUCAGGCUCUGGCUAGCAGCCCUCUUAUCACACCUGACACUGAAGCAGCAAUGACAAUCUUGUCACAAAGACUAACAAGGGCUUAAUGAGGCAGCCAAUAGGAACAGCCUGGACUCCAGUUGGGCGUGAAGUCAGUUCCAGUUGUGGACCAGCACUGCGUACUCCUGUGUCCAUCACCUGAGCGAACUGUGAUGCUCAGGUCUUGGCAAUGUCCCCUGCCACUGGGAGGAAGCCCUCUGGGCGGCAUGUCAGGGAG